CGUAGGCAGCAAGCGUUGUUCGGAGUUACUGGGCGUAAAGAGUACGUAGGCGGUUUGCUAAGUCUGGUGUGAAAUCUCCUGGCUUAACUGGGAGGGUGCGCUAGAUACUGGCAGGCUUGAGUAUGGGAGAGGAGAGCGGAAUUCCUGGUGUAGCGGUGAAAUGCGUAGAUAUCAGGAGGAACGCCGGUGGUGUAGACGGCUCUCUGGACCAUUACUGACGCUGAGGUACGAAAGCGUGGGUAGCAAACAGGAUUAGAUACCCUGGUAGUCCACGCCCUAAACGAUGCGGACUUGGUGUAGGCAGUUCAGUCUGUCUGUGCCGGAGCUAACGCGUUAAGUCCGCCGCCUGGGGAGUACGGUCGCAAGGCUG
This 370-nucleotide ribosomal RNA is filed under the name uncultured organism. RNAcentral describes it as "bacterial SSU rRNA". It matches the Rfam family "Bacterial small subunit ribosomal RNA", at positions 526 to 896 of the family's 1533-position model. The record is from RNAcentral.